GUCUUCUGUAGGUUACAAAUUCACACACACACACACACACACACACACACACACACACACACACACGUAGAGUAAACUGUAUUUAGAAUUUUUGAUACAUAGUGGGAGUUGUCCAGUUUGCUUUGUACACUGUAGAUAUCCCCAGCAGGCAUUCACGUGCCCAGCCCUUUAAACAUGCAGCUGCUCUUAUCUGCAGAAGGAAACCAAAAACAAACACGCAGCCCUUGGCCUCCCCUCCCUCCCCACACAUCUCAGGGUGACGUACGUACUUUGGUUUCUAGUGCAGUCUAUCACGGCACUCCCAUACCUGGCACUGGGCCCCCAUGAUACUUUGCAGCUGAGGGGUGGGGAGAGAGAACUAACCGUCAAUGUUACAAAGUAGCCCCGUAUAAUCCUAGUUAAUAUGCAAAUCAACUAUGGUUGUUGUUGUUUGUAGUAUUUCUAGGUCCACGUGUUCUGCCUUAUCUGGUAGAAAUAAAGAUUUAUCUCACAUUUGAUUAGUUUUUGUUUAGUCUGGAUUUGUUUUCAUGAUUGGAUAAGAAAGUCAGGCCAGAGUUCAAUUAUAGCAAGACACAACACGUUGUGUGUUAUAUUCAGAUAUGAGUAAAAUUGGCAAGCGUGGCCUAGACAGUUCCUACCUUUUACAAACAUUCACUACACUAUCUGAAUAUUUGGGGAUCGCAUUGCCAUUUAUGGAUAAAAAGUAACAUAUUUUCAACAUUAAAACCAUCCAUCAGUCUACAAAGAUAACACUGUACCCCCCAACUUUCCUCUGUAAUUGUGAGGAAUUUGGCUACUUUCGGCAGCAUUCAAGCAACAUGAAUCAGACUCAGCUUGUCAAGCAGAGAUUAAUCAGUGCUGUGCAAUCUGAAGAUCCGUGUCACUGGUGGUGGUGGGGGAGUUAAAAGUAGAGGAAGGUAUGGGGGGUGGACACCUACUAUUCAUCACUUCCUAGUGUGUAUAUGUGUGUGUUCAAGUGAGAACGAAAGAGAAGGAGGACACUAUAGCUACUAAGGAAUCUUUUGGUGUCUCUGAGAGGCUUCAUGCUCAGAAGAGGCUGAUUUGUAGACAGGAGAGAGAGGAGAGAUGCAAGGGUUGCUGGGGAAGACUGGAGAGGAAAAUCAUGCACACACAAAUGCAUACAAACACAUAUAUCAUAUAUGUACACAAACAGAAAAGAAUGCGAUUGUGCACCCGCUGCACAUGCUCUGAGUUGAGAGGAUUACAACAAAACUGUAAGCAAGAAGAGACUGAAGUCCUUCCUAAGAAUGCAUUCAUUUAAAACUUUCUCUCCACAACCACUUAAUCCACAUUAUCUAUAGCCGACAUGUCACCACAAAUUCUCCUCUGUUGCUGAGAAAAAAUAGCUAUUGCUUUCUAAACACCUUUACUGUCUACUUAGAGUCAGUCUGGAUUUACCUGACUUAUGCCUCAGAAUGCUUUGAAAACUUUCAUGAGUAUUUACACAUAUUAAAGAAAGAAACCCUGGUGACGACUGGCUGUACAGCUUCUGACUUGUAACUUCGAGCCAUGAGACGUACAAUUUGUUCCUUUGCUUUCCGUAAACUGUCUGUGCAGGACUAAAAUAUUUUGUCAACACGGUUAAUGUAUUCUCAAGCUCUCAAAGGAAGCUCUUUUUUUCCUGUCUGUCUAAAUGUGUGAGGAUGGGAUUGUUGGCAAGCGCAGCUCACACUCAUAUGGAUCAGUGGGACAGGAAGUCAAAACAUGCAUAGAUAAAGCCAUCUCUGUAGCAUUUACUGGCAGCAGCGCAGGGCAGUAAUCAUGAAUGAGCACUACUAUGUGAGUUUUGUGCCCUUGAGAAGUGCUAGGAUGAGGUCGUCUCCAGAGAAAAAAGUGAGGAGUGUGUGGAGCUGCAAAGUAAGAAGUUGUAGAAGAAGUAAGAGAUACUCUGCUGUCUUCUAAACUUAUUUCGUGAUCAUUAGACUCAAGAAUGUAAUGACUUCUAAGGAGAAGUUUUGUCAGUUGUUUACAAUGCAGUGGAACGUUGAGAUUAUCGGGCCUCUCUUGUCUAAGUGAACCUGUUUGGACAUCACCAGGAAAUGUCUCCACAGCUGGAGCACCCCCGACUGACUCAGGACUCUGGAAUUUCAACCAUCCCACUAAUAAGGCUGCCUGGGUGCCUCACGUGCAGGCCUGAACACACUCUUCCCCAUUUCACUUUCUCUAACGGGCACCUACAUUACUGCUUUAAAUAAAAAAAGUAAAGUAAAUAAAAAGCGUGAGCGUCAGCCAUUAUAUUCCUAUUUCUGCUAUUUUAUCUAUGAAGUUUUUAAAAAGUUUUUUUUUAAACAGACUGAGAGAAGAUCAUGAAUCAAAUGACUCAGAUUAUCCAUCAUUUUAGCCCCCUAAAGUAAGACUAUGUAACUUUUGCUGAAGAGCAGCCACUGUGGCCACUAGUGACAAUUCAGGGAUAAUUGUAAUUAUCAAGACAUAGUGUAACAGUAGCACAAGUAGAGAAGACUCAUAAAGUCAGCAAACUGACUUCUAACUAGCUAAAGUUUGCUAACAUCAGCUAUUAGCCACCAUAAGCUCUAUUAGCACCAUAAAACCAAGUUAGGCGGCAGCAGCAAAGCCUUUGAGUGUACUGAACUAAGCAGAUACUGUUUGUGAAUUCACUUCACACUUCAUUUCUAAGAAAAAUAGAAGCUAUGUAAGAAAAAAAAAUCUUCCUUCAAAAGUUACAUAGUCUCACUUAAAGAUGAGGAGAACUACAUUUGACAAAAGGCAGUUUAAGAGCUGUGAAUACUCCUGCUAGAACAAGUAUCAUCGGUGCUGUUGACCGUGGUAACAUAGCCUGUUGGGGUGUGUUCACCUCUAUGCAAAGGAAACUGUUCUUAUUUACAUGCGUUUACAUGACAGUUAUGCUAGUUAUUUGCAUUGAUAAGUGUAAAAACAUGUCCCAUUAACAGUUUAACCUCUGCGUCUAUUUAAUUUACAUUUCAGUUUUCCCUGAGAGUGUUGCUUCUCACGGCUCCCAUGUUUGCACUGCUUAACACAUUAACCUCAAGGCUCUUUGUGAUGAUGGAAUUGACAGACCUUGAUCUGCAUGUGAGGUGAAAAUCCAUAUCUACUUUAUAUCUUGCGUCAGAACAAAAAAAUGUGUGUCUCCACUCAGCCUCCCCCAAUGUCCUCACAGAAGUUUGUGCAAUGAUCUGGGGAAUGUACCACACACCUGUCAACCAACAGCACCGCACAGAGAGGCUCUAAUGAAGCCAGACUUGGUGGUUAUGAUAGAGAUUCCUCCAUCCAACAUGCUCUAUUUUGGUGUGUUGACCAUUACCAGGAAAGUAGAUUUAUUGUUGUUAUUGGUGGAUCAGGAUUCAGGAAAUCAUUUUCAAAGUGACUUUCAAGAGGUUAAGUCAAGUCUUUGUGAAGACUGUUUAUAAUUUUCAAUCCCCAUAGGAAUCAGUUUGUAAUCCUAUUGUUUUUACACUGACUAUAGUGGAUCAGCCACAAUAAUAUUAUUCCGUAUGUCCUGGGAUUACAUUUCAAGAUGGAAUUUCAAGUGUAAUCUAUUUCCAAUUACCUAGCCUAAAUGGCUGUGCUGAAUACACACUAAUUUUAACAAAUUUAAUUGGGGACUGAAAGAUAACAAAGUUGUUAUUGGUAAACAUAUUAAAAAAUAAAAAAUUAAAGAAGACAUUUUCUUUAAUGGCUUCAAACAUAUUGUUACAAUAUUUAUUGUCUUCCCAGUACUUUAAUCAGUUCCCUAACAACAUCAAAUUAAUUGCAUUGUGUAUUGUUGUGUUGUUGUGUGAGACAUGCAAGCUUAUGAAACUAACACAAACUGUCAGGUAUCAUCCAGGGCUAUUUACAAGGGCUUCAUCAUUUGUCACAUGCUAAAAAAUUUCAUGACACAAAUAAAUAGAGAGAGGGAGUUGGAGGCUGUUAACUUGCUGUGGAAUCCAGUUUGGGCAGAGGAUGCAUCUGAAAUAAUGGCUGAAUUAAUCACUCUGUGUGGGUGACUGGUGAUGCAAAUUCUUAUGCUCUUGGCAAUAAAUACUGACACAUUUAAGAACUGGAGCUCUUAUGUUAUUAUGUUUAUUAUAUGGUGCUUAAUUCCUAUGGGUUCCCAAAGAUUACUGCCUGUAUUUCCCAUUUGAAGCAUACUACAACAUUCACUGCAUUUAGUUUUUAUGUUUUGAGAACAUUUUUUUAUAAACUCACACUGUUUUAUAUCAAUUCAGAUAAUGAUUUUUACCUUUUCCUCUCUGGCAUGUAAUGAACUGUGAAUUAGAGGGCAUUCAUUUGACUUUCUACAUGACUGCUUCAGUAUAUUUGUAUAUGUUCACUAACAUUGGGCAGCAGACAGUGAAAAUCCUGCCAAUGUAAUAUCCAUUUGGGUACUUUUUACACAGACAAAAUCAAUUUACUGUGUUGUGGAAACACACAGGGUACAGGUAACGCAUUAUAUUCAAUCUGUUUAAAUGUAGGCCAUAUUUUCACUGCAACCACACACUACAUCAGAUGGACUACGCUGUUCCUCCUUUUCUGGCUAAAAGUAUAGCAUGCACACAUGGACUGAGCCCAGCACACAGUGGUGUCUGAGUCAACUGCGUGGACCACGAUUUGUAGAAAAAAGCCCACUGAACAGCGGCGGUGGCAGUUUAUUGUCCAUGUGUACUCCCAGGUACUUGUAAUCCUCUACAAUGUCCACACUGACCCCCUGGACGGAAACCGGGGUCACUGGUGCCUUGGCCCUUCGUAGGUCUCCAACCAGCUCCUCAGACUUUGCCGCAUUGAGCUGCAGAUGGUUCUGCUCACACCAUGAGACAAAGUUACCCAUGAUACAUCCCACCACAGAGUCAUCAGAAAACUUCUGAAGGUGGCAGGACUCUGUGUGGUAGCUGAAGUCUGUGG
Molecule: long non-coding RNA, 4881 nt
Organism: Siniperca chuatsi (mandarin fish)
Lineage: Eukaryota; Metazoa; Chordata; Actinopteri; Centrarchiformes; Sinipercidae
Exons: 4
Source: RefSeq, a predicted model, not a curated record